Molecule: long non-coding RNA, 1409 nt
Organism: Manis pentadactyla (Chinese pangolin)
Lineage: Eukaryota; Metazoa; Chordata; Mammalia; Pholidota; Manidae
Exons: 2
Source: RefSeq, a predicted model, not a curated record
UUUGUCAAACUCAGCCAGGAAUGAACAUAGCCUGAAGGUGCAGGGCAAGUGUGUACACGAGCUAUGUGCGCAGGCCUUGGGACAGGAGACAUAAUUUCAAGGGCAAAUGGAUGUCUGGGAGCAAAAAGGAAAAGAGAGGCAGCCUGAGCCAGAAAGAGCCAUGAACAAUGGGGUAACUGGGAAGUGCCUGGGGAAAUUGUAUUUGCUAUUUCCUGAAGUAAAAGAAAACUAGGUGGGGGAAAAUAGAUUUAUAUCAGCUCCUGAACUGUUUUAUGGGAGAGUUCCCUAGGAAGAUUCUUUUUCCCCUCCGAACAGUUCCGCCUGCGCACCCUCCCAGGGUUUUCUCAUUGCUGUCCUAACAAGAGUGUGCAUAUCCUGACGCUCCUGCAGUGAAAAGCUCUCUCCUCCCUGCAGCAGCAGCUAGGUCUCCUAUCCCUCCUUUGUUACAAAUUCUCUGCCAGCAAGAAAAAAGAUUCUUUCUAGAAACUGCAAAAUAGCAAAGAGAUGGAAAUAGAGUGGGGAGGAAGCAGGGGGAGAGAGACAAACAGAGACAGAGAGAAGGAGAAGGUGGCGGAAGAAAACGGUGCAGGAAGAGGAAGCAGGAAGCCCAGCGUGUGGCAGCGCCUGGGUCUCCUGCUGCCUCUCCUCCGGGCUGGCCUUCCCGGGAGCAGCCGCUGGGUGCCAGCCCGCGGCGGGGGCUGCUGCGCCGCAGCUCCUGUCCUUCAGGCCCCCUUCACCAGUGUGCUGCAGUGAUGAAGUAGAGCUGCCCUGUCAGACCUCAUCAGCAGUCCUGUGAAGGCAGAAUGAAAUCACUGCUAUUGACCCCCUGGCAUAUUUAUAGGCUCUCUCUUUCUGCUGAGGCUGGUGGUUAUCACCUCCGUGUCCCCGAGUUGUGUUUAUUCAGCAACACGCUAAAUCACACCCGCUUGCAAGCAGGCGCUCAUCAGGAACACGAGCCUCUCUUUCAGGCUGCCAAACCUAUCUAAUUACUGGGGCUGGAAGGACCCGCAAAAAAAAAAAAAAAAAAACCUUCUUCCCGAGAAAUAUCUCAUGAAGACACAGAAGGACAGCAGGAAAAACAAGGGCUUGGGCGCCGAAAAGACCUGGGCCUGAAUCCCAGCUUUCCCUCAGAAACCUGCCCAAAGGAAUGGUUCCAGAGAAUGUGGAAUUCAACACAGGAUGCCAAGUGUGUGACCCAGAGACCCAGCGGAAAUGCACAGGGGUUUGCUUCCCCUUUCCUUCCUCCUCUUUCCCUCUAACCCAUUGCAGCUUUGAAAAUAGCACUCACUUAUUAUACUCCACAGAUGUUGUCAAAAUUAGCAAUAAUCACCUCUGGUUUUAUUCAUUACAUCCAUGGAAGAAAGAGAACUAGUGAAAAUAAAUAAAUAAAUGUCAGCUUUUAAUGUUCA